UGCAACAUUGACAUUGUAAGGUUAACAUGUGUACGUUCAUACGUAUUUAACUAUUUAAUACAUACAUAAGCUUCGUUAGUAUUGAACUGUCGCUCACUCAUUAAGAAUAAGAAGAAUAACAGCACUGAGGAUGAACCGGACUAGGAUGGAGGAAGGAAAACGAGAUGAUGAUUCGGAACUGGAGAUAGUCAUUACUCUUUUAUAUUAAUGUUCCAUACUGAAUACCCGUCUCAACUUAUCUGUUGUUAAGUUAUUCAUUCAGCCGUCUUGUCAAAUGCAAUGCGCUACAAAUAAGAAUUCCUCCCAUUCGUGAAUGUGUCUUCAUUAUUACAAGAAAGAGCAUACAACACGCAGAUCGUUGGGAUGAAAGAGUUCAUUGCAGUCCUCUCGUCCCUGCUUCUCGUUUCUUUUGCGAUAAUUGUGACCAUCAUCUUUUUCGGCGACCCUCCUACACCUCUGCCCAAUGGAGGCAAUGGGAUGAAAUCAGUCUCGGAAAAAAAAUGUCCAAUUGAUGAUGUCCAGUAUGGAGUUUCUUACGUUUAAAAAAUUUCACAUACUUACAAAUGUACAACGUUGAAAUAAAUUUGAAACUGUAUCAUGUUCCUGCAUAA
Molecule: long non-coding RNA, 611 nt
Organism: Folsomia candida
Lineage: Eukaryota; Metazoa; Arthropoda; Collembola; Entomobryomorpha; Isotomidae
Exons: 3
Source: RefSeq, a predicted model, not a curated record